CAUCUUUUUUUUUAUUCUAUUUUUCUAUGACUGUCAGUUUGUCUUUGUGCCGCAGUUCACCCACACCGUGACACUCAGGAGUAACACACAGUGAGUUCUCCUGAACUAUGACCGCAAAGCUCAAAGGGUUAUUAUCGCUUUCUUGUGACGAUUCACCUAGGCUGUUGUUGUUCUCACAAGCUCAUUUAAGGUGUGCAUGUUGUAAGGAUCAGAUCAACAUGUGGUGGUAAUUAAUCUGCAAAUUACAAUGUGAAGUAAUUCUUUUCUUUUCUAUGCAUGAUUUUCUUUUCUUUUUGUUUAUGGGGGGGGUGGAGAGCGCUCAUAUGAGCUACAGUUUAUAAAGGAAUGCUUAUCUAAAUAAAAACAACACCAGCAUGGAUGUAAAUCUUUCUUAGCCUCCCAGUAAACACAAACUUAAAAGAAAGCUAUAUAUAUUCCACACAGUGGUUUAUAUCAGCUUGCAAUACUUUUUCGCCUCUUACCUUUCCAAGCAAGCAAAGCUAAACCAAUGAAUAGAGGGAUUUUCAAGGCUUUCUGAAGUGAUGAGAAAGAGGUGGAAACAAUUAAGUCCGGACAACGCACUCUAUCUAGACUCUAUUGAUCGGUGUGAGGUCAUCCCACCACCACUAAAUUAAUCUUUGCAUUUUCAGCUUUCUUUUCUAUCUUCCCCCAAUAAUGUGCUCUCGUGACACCAACAGCAACUUUGUUUUCAUGCUAAAUAUCAAGACACACAAUAUCACCUCGCUAUUCGUGUAUGCGAGAACUAAUGUUGGGGCCAAGAGCUAAUCAGGGAACUUUCUAUGACCAAAGGUGAGCAUUACAUUGUUUCGCAGUCAACGUCAGUAGUUGGUUAAACGUAAUCAUUGCCCUACUUUAUUUCACUCACCUCCUGAAAACUUAAAAACUCAGCACAAUCAGCAAAAGCUUAUCACUUGUUAAGCCCUCUGUGAUUAGAUCACAUGGUAGCAAAUUGAAUCCUUCUCCUCUCUCUGAAACCCACAGAGGAAUACUAGCAAGUAUACUAUAAUGGGAGGCUUAUUUAGCUUUAUUUGUAAAGUGCGCAUCGGCAGGAUGGGAGAGAGCAGUGGAAAGAGUAAACCUUUCUAUCUUUUGCUCCCUCUGCCACUUCAAAAGACGACCGAGGCUUUUUACUCAUGGGAUUUAGUCACCUUGCAAGCACACCCUGUGCUUCUUUGUCAGGUGUGAGGCCAGUUGGUAAAUGCAGACAAAAAUGGUGCGGUCCUAAUUGUUAGGUAACAAAGAACACACUCUGCAUCACAUUAGACGAAUAAUAUAAAGUAAAUGCUGAGAUUUAUUCAGCCUUCCGUAUUUCAUAAACUACAUCUUCCUGUCCCUUGUUCUCAAAGUAUUGCCACCUUUUUUUUGUCUAGAAAACACUCUGUCGCUAUAUUACAGACUAACUAGAGUUUGUGUUUGAUAUUUGCUUUAAUAGAUUCAUUUGUGGCCAGUGAACAGUAUACUUUUAACUGAUAAAUGAAAGGACAGAUUAAUACUCUUAACUGGCUGGGAAAUGUAUCAAGGGAGGAGGAAUUAGGCCCAACAUUGUUAUAAGAGUAAAUUGAGCAUUAUUUCAGUCAUGCGCAAUUUUGGUAUUUUUCCCAGUACUUUUUCAUUGAGGAUUAUGCCAUGCCAGGCUCAUCCUGUGUGUUCUGAAAGAAAACAGGAUUUCACACUCACUGUCAGGCUGCCUCUUUGCUGAUCCCCCAUAUUUAUAUUUUCAAUUAUUUUCCGUUUUUCACCCACUCAUCUUUAGAAUGUGCUGAUGUUGAUGCUUAUACAAUGUGUCCGUUUAUAAAUCUAAGUAGGGCACAGACGACUUUGCUUAUCUGAGGGAAGACGCACAGCCGAAGUUGAUAAUGAAGAUGACGGUAACAGCACGUGGUGCUUACCAACUUCAAUUAGACAUUUAUUUUCACUGAGUUUUAUGAGCUGUUUGGUAUCCUGGGGUUAGGAAACGUUCCAUCAAACGAUGCCGUUAUAGGCAGUUCGCAAGUAGGCAUGGCUCUACUUUUUUCUAAAUGGCACUUGUCAUUUCUUUUUAUAAUGGCAAUUGCUACUUCACACUUUGAUAGUACACAGAAUGUGUUGCAUCAAAAACUUCAGUAACACAUCCACAUAGUCCAUCUGACAAAAAAAUUGAGACGGAACAAUAUUCAGCUUUUGUCAUUAUAUUAUGUAGCACGGCUGUACGGAAUUCACGAAUGGAAGUAAAGUCUCUUGCUCAAAAAAAAAAAAUCCCUGCAACCUUUUAAUUUAAAAGUAAAAGUAAUCAAGUAUCCAGUCUUGUGCAAUUAAUGCCAAAUAAAUCAUCCUCUUGUAGAAGCCCCUCUGAGUGGAGGCAUCAAUUACACCAUACCUUUAACCAGGCUAAAUGAAACACCUUGAAGUAAUUUUCACAAGGACCUCAUUUCAUGCUCACUCCGCUCUCUGUUCAUCAUCCAGCAUUAGCACGAGCUCAACCACUUCUCAUUCACACGCUCUCAUUGGGCAUAUUGCCAGUAUGUCACAAGUACACAUCUUGAGGACACUCUUAUAAUUAAGGAGCGAUUUAAUAAGUAGCUGGGCUCCACUGUAGCUGAUAGUGUCCUGUCAGAAGAUUGAGGUCCACUAUGCGACGCUUUUGACAGCUCGAGAUUAUGACGAGAUAUGUGAAGUCAGAUGCUGACUAGACAACACCAAUGUGUUGAAGAGCCGGCCAACCAAGCCUGGCUAAAGGUGCCCUACCCCCACCUCUAAGACAUUUUACAACUUACAUCUUAUGUACAAUUUACAGCUUAUGUUUAAGCACCAUUAGAGUGAAAGACUGAUGUCACAAUAGAUAUAUUUCAAAUACAAAUUAAGAGUUUUGCCCUUCAGUGUGGUGCCUUGCUCAAGGGCUCCUGUGUCCUCAGCUGGACUUGGACCCAGGACCAUCCACAGCCACACAAAAUUGUCCCUUCUAGCUCGUUUUCCAAACUAACUCUCAGAAUUACACUCGGAUACAUCAACUCAGAACCUGAUAGUGCAUGCAAUUGUCCAUGUGUUCGCUGCACUCGUUCAGACUAUUAUCACUCUAACUUUAUGGGGGGGGGGGUCAAACUCACAGUGACAGUUCAAUAAAUUCUAAGUAGUCUUGGUUGCUUCAUUACCCCAAGCACGGACCUGAAGCAACCUCUGUGUUUUGCCUCAUCCAGCUUUGUCACCCUGCACAUUCUUGCCAAUUACCAAAUAAAUGAGAGCCAUACUGGAUACAAAUGAGGAAAAAUAGUCUUUGUUGAGGACCAUUUGUUGUUGAAAUUCUAGUUGACAGGAAAAAAUGUGACUCCCCAAACAAGUCUAGUGAAAAUAAGGGGAGCUUCCAACCAGGUA
Syngnathus acus (greater pipefish) is the source of this 3369-nucleotide long non-coding RNA. RefSeq lists it as uncharacterized. The record is from RefSeq and is a predicted model, not a curated record. The transcript has 2 exons. NCBI's taxonomy places the organism in Eukaryota, Metazoa, Chordata, Actinopteri, Syngnathiformes, Syngnathidae.